RNAcentral lists this ribosomal RNA (484 nucleotides) under uncultured bacterium. RNAcentral describes it as "partial 16S ribosomal RNA". It matches the Rfam family "Bacterial small subunit ribosomal RNA", at positions 30 to 507 of the family's 1533-position model. The record is from RNAcentral.
AUUGAACGCUGGCGGCAGGCCUAACACAUGCAAGUCGAGCGGAUGAAGGGGGCUUGCUCCUGGAUUCAGCGGCGGACGGGUGAGUAAUGCCUAGGAAUCUGCCUGGUAUUGGGGGAUAACGUCCGGAAACGGGCGCUAAUACCGCAUACGUCCUGAGGGAGAAAGUGGGGGAUCUUCGGACCUCACGCUAUCAGAUGAGCCUAGGUCGGAUUAGCUAGUUGGUGGGGUAAAGGCCUACCAAGGCGACGAUCCGUAACUGGUCUGAGAGGAUGAUCAGUCACACUGGAACUGAGACACGGUCCAGACUCCUACGGGAGGCAGCAGUGGGGAAUAUUGGACUAUGGGCGAAAGCCUGAUCCAGCCAUGCCGCGUGUGUGAAGAAGGUCUUCGGAUUGUAAAGCACUUUAAGUUGGGAGGAAGGGCAGUAAGUUAAUACCUUGCUGUUUUGACGUUACCAACAGAAUAAGCACCGGCUAACUUCGUG